Molecule: ribosomal RNA, 140 nt
Filed under: Podospora anserina S mat+
Lineage: Eukaryota; Fungi; Ascomycota; Sordariomycetes; Sordariales; Podosporaceae
Source: RNAcentral
AACUAUCACAUACGACCAUACCUGGCAGAAAACUCGGGAUCCCGUCCGUUCUCCCCUCGAUAACCUGUCAAGGGCCAGACCAGUACCCAGGUGGGUGACCACUGGGGAAUCCCUGGUGUUGUAUGUUUUUAGCCCUUUUU